Molecule: non-coding RNA, 75 nt
Organism: Podarcis lilfordi (Lilford's wall lizard)
Lineage: Eukaryota; Metazoa; Chordata; Lepidosauria; Squamata; Lacertidae
Source: the annotation of a GenBank genome assembly
GCUCUGGGAUGGCUCAGUUGGUAGAGCAGGAGACUCAUAAUCUCAGGAUGAGUGGUUCGAGCCCCACAUUGGGCA